AUUGAACGCUGGCGGCAGGCCUAACACAUGCAAGUCGAACGAGUGGCGGACGGGUGAGUAAUGUCUGGGAAACUGCCUGAUGGAGGGGGAUAACUACUGGAAACGGUAGCUAAUACCGCAUACCAUCGGAUGUGCCCAGAUGGGAUUAGCUAGUAGGUGGGGUAACGGCUCACCUAGGCGACGAUCCCUAGCUGGUCUGAGAGGAUGACCAGCCACAAUGGAACUGAGACACGGUCCAGACCCCUGCGGGAUGCAGCAGUGGGGAAUAUUGGACAAGGGGCGCAAGCCUGGUGCAGCCAUGCCGCGUGUAUGAAAGAGGCCUUCGGGUUGUAAAGUACUUUCAGCGGGGGGGCGUUACCCUCAGAAGAAGCACCGGCUAACUCCGUUCCAACAGCCGCGGUAAUAC
Molecule: ribosomal RNA, 406 nt
Filed under: uncultured bacterium
Lineage: Bacteria
Description: partial 16S ribosomal RNA
Rfam family: Bacterial small subunit ribosomal RNA
Source: RNAcentral